AUUGAACGCUGGCGGCAUGCCUUACACAUGCAAGUCGAACGGCAGCACGGGUGCUUGCACCUGGUGGCGAGUGGCGAACGGGUGAGUAAUACAUCGGAACAUGUCCUGUAGUGGGGGAUAGCCCGGCGAAAGCCGGAUUAAUACCGCAUACGAUCUACGGCUGAAAGCGGGGGACCUUCGGGCCUCGCGCUAUAGGGUUGGCCGAUGGCUGAUUAGCUAGUUGGUGGGGUAAAGGCCUACCAAGGCGACGAUCAGUAGCUGGUCUGAGAGGACGACCAGCCACACUGGGACUGAGACACGGCCCAGACUCCUACGGGAGGCAGCAGUGGGGAAUUUUGGACAAUGGGCGAAAGCCUGAUCCAGCAAUGCCGCGUGUGUGAAGAAGGCCUUCGGGUUGUAAAGCACUUUUGUCCGGAAAGAAAUCCUUGGCUCUAAUACAGUCGGGGGAUGACGGUACCGGAAGAAUAAGCACCGGCUAACUACGUG
This 486-nucleotide ribosomal RNA is filed under the name uncultured bacterium. Its description in RNAcentral is "partial 16S ribosomal RNA". It matches the Rfam family "Bacterial small subunit ribosomal RNA", at positions 30 to 507 of the family's 1533-position model. The record is from RNAcentral.